CAGUGAAAUUCGCCGUUGGCGAGUGAAAUCUGACUUUGUCAGGUGAAAUCGUCCUGUCGGACGGUGAAAUUGCCC
Ruminococcus sp. CAG:108 is the source of this 75-nucleotide small RNA. It matches the Rfam family "Gut-1 RNA". The record is from Rfam. Lineage: Bacteria; Bacillati; Bacillota; Clostridia; Eubacteriales; Oscillospiraceae.